CCAGACUCCUACGGGAGGCAGCAGUGGGGGAUAUUGCACAAUGGGGGAAACCCUGAUGCAGCGACGCCGCGUGGGCGAAGAAGUAUUUCGGUAUGUAAAGCCCUAUCAGCAGGGAAGAAGAAAUGACGGUACCUGAGUAAGAAGCACCGGCUAAAUACGUGCCAGCAGCCGCGGUAAUACGUAUGGUGCAAGCGUUAUCCGGAUUUACUGGGUGUAAAGGGAGCGUAGACGGUUAUGUAAGUCUGGAGUGAAAGCCCGGGGCCCAACCCCGGGACUGCUUUGGAAACUGUGUAACUAGAGUACAGGAGGGGCAGGCGGAAUUCCUGGUGUAGCGGUGAAAUGCGUAGAUAUCAGGAGGAACACCGGCGGCGAAGGCGGCCUGCUGGACGAUGACUGACGUUGAGGCUCGAAAGCGUGGGGAGCAAACAGGAUUAGAUACCCUGGUAC
Molecule: ribosomal RNA, 447 nt
Filed under: uncultured bacterium
Lineage: Bacteria
Description: bacterial SSU rRNA
Rfam family: Bacterial small subunit ribosomal RNA
Source: RNAcentral